This 79-nucleotide small RNA is filed under the name Lutibacter maritimus. RNAcentral's name for it is "Flavo-1 RNA". It matches the Rfam family "Flavo-1 RNA". Lineage: Bacteria; Pseudomonadati; Bacteroidota; Flavobacteriia; Flavobacteriales; Flavobacteriaceae. The record is from Rfam by way of RNAcentral.
UUUUUGCGUUAGCGAUUGCAGUGACAUCCUUUUUUGGAGUGUAACGUAAAAAAAGAUAUAACGGAAAGCGCCACCUGAA